Molecule: ribosomal RNA, 182 nt
Filed under: Pygathrix nemaeus (Red shanked douc langur)
Lineage: Eukaryota; Metazoa; Chordata; Mammalia; Primates; Cercopithecidae
Description: partial 12S ribosomal RNA
Rfam family: Bacterial small subunit ribosomal RNA
Source: RNAcentral
GGAGGAUUUAGUAGUAAACUAAGAAUAGAGUGCUUAGUUGAACUAGGCCAUGAAGCACGCACACACCGCCCGUCGCUCUCCUCAAAUAUAAUUAGAACUAACUUAACUAAAUAUUUCUGCAUUCAUACAGAGGAGAUAAGUCGUAACAUGGUAAGUGUACUGGAAAGUGCACUUGGAUAAAU